This 73-nucleotide transfer RNA is filed under the name Bombus terrestris (buff-tailed bumblebee). RNAcentral's name for it is "misc RNA ENSBTSG00005031703.1". It matches the Rfam family "tRNA". From Rfam's summary of the family: Transfer RNA (tRNA) molecules are approximately 80 nucleotides in length. Their secondary structure includes four short double-helical elements and three loops (D, anti-codon, and T loops). Lineage: Eukaryota; Metazoa; Arthropoda; Insecta; Hymenoptera; Apidae. The record is from RNAcentral. RNAcentral also lists the same sequence under 1 other name.
GGUUCCGUAGUGUAGCGGUUAUCACAUCUGCUUUACACGCAGAAGGUCGCCGGUUCGAUCCCGGUCGGAACCA